GUACGGGAGGCAGCAGUGGGGAAUAUUGCACAAUGGGGGAAACCCUGAUGCAGCGACGCCGCGUGAAGGAUGAAGUAUUUCGGUAUGUAAACUUCUAUCAGCAGGGAAGAAAAUGACGGUACCUGACUAAGAAGCCCCGGCUAACUACGUGCCAGCAGCCGCGGUAAUACGUAGGGGGCAAGCGUUAUCCGGAUUUACUGGGUGUAAAGGGAGUGUAGACGGCAGUACAAGUCUGAAGUGAAAGCCCGGGGCUCAACCCCGGGACUGCUUUGGAAACUGUGCAGCUAGAGUGUCGGAGAGGCAAGCGGAAUUCCUAGUGUAGCGGUGAGAUGCGUAGAUAUUAGGAGGAACACCAGUGGCGAAGGCGGCUUGCUGGACGAUGACUGACGUUGAGGCUCGAAAGCGUGGGGAGCAAACAGGAUUAGAUACCCGAGUAGUCG
RNAcentral lists this ribosomal RNA (440 nucleotides) under uncultured bacterium. Its description in RNAcentral is "bacterial SSU rRNA". It matches the Rfam family "Bacterial small subunit ribosomal RNA", at positions 339 to 796 of the family's 1533-position model. The record is from RNAcentral.